RNAcentral lists this long non-coding RNA (221 nucleotides) under Sorghum bicolor (sorghum). RNAcentral's name for it is "long non-coding RNA (SBIC_LNC011212)". Lineage: Eukaryota; Viridiplantae; Streptophyta; Magnoliopsida; Poales; Poaceae. The record is from RNAcentral.
UGGCACAUGCAUGAAGCAUUAAAUAUAUGUGAAAACAAAAACUAAUUGCACAGUCAAUAAAAAGAGAAGGGUUCCACUAACAGUCUGGAGAGACAGUUUCCUUUGAGUCUUAGACUUCUUUUCCCUUUUUUUUUGGGCCUAUAGGCCUUGUAAUUUUUUCUGUUUUGCUUUUUUCUUUUUAUACAGUGCAUUCCUUCAUUCAAUUGAAAUACAAAAAAUAU